This 1861-nucleotide long non-coding RNA is filed under the name Homo sapiens (human). RNAcentral's name for it is "non-protein coding lnc-BOD1-1:29". Lineage: Eukaryota; Metazoa; Chordata; Mammalia; Primates; Hominidae. The record is from RNAcentral.
AGGCAUUUGCUUCAGGUGAGCAGAGGGAUGACUUUCUGUCCCACAUCUGUGAAGAUCAGCUGUUGGUUUACAUUGCCAGGGUGAAAUUCAACAGAACUAAUUUAGGGUGAAGAUCUUGAGGCCCACAAGGAAUUUCCUUGUGGGAAAAUUGUGAGGAAGGUAAGUAGCUUUUAAAAAUCUUUGUAGCUAUCUUCUUCAGGAAGGAAAUGGGUGGUGGGUUUGCCCAACAUGGUUUCCAGCUUGACUUUUCCCUUUGGCCUAGUGAUUUUGGGGUCCCAAGAUUUAUUUCCCUUUCACAAAAUGAUUAACAGUGAUUAUUCUAGAGCAGUGGUUUUGCAGGGGCGAUUUUUGCCUCCUACGGGACAUUUGGCAAUGUCUGGAGUCAUUUUCUUGGUUGUCACGGGGCGGGGAGGGGGGUGCCACUGGCAUUGAGUGGCUAGAGGCCAGGAAUGCUUCUAAACAUUCUACAGUGCACAGGUCAGCCCACGACAAAAAAAAGAAAAAAGUUUGGCCCAAGAUGUCAAUAGUGCUGAGGCUGAGGAAUCGCUGAGAGGUUUAAGAGGUUGAGCGCUCUCAAAUGUGGGGAAGAAGACUUAUUUUUCAUAUAAUGCUUCUCUGAUGCUUGCAUUACAUUAAUAGCAACAGCUACAAAAUCUGCCCACUCUUAGCUAUGAGCUAAUGCGUGUAAGAUGCCAGCAUAUAGUAGGUGCUCACAAGGUGUUCCUUUCUUGCUGCGCUCUGGCUUUCACAUCUGCAGAAAUGGGUGUGCCAACACCUGCUCUGGGGGUGGCUGCAAGGCUCAUUUUAGGCUACAGUUCAGGCCCUGACCACCUGGCUCUGGGUGCAGCUGUUAAAAGCGUCACCAACCUGCCCGGGGGCAGCUUCCCAUAUCCCUUCCUCUGCCACUGGUUAUUCUGCUGAAGUUCAAGGGCCCCCAGCUGCUUCUCAAAGCAGGAACACUUCUGCAAAACACAUCCUGAAUUUGAAUAGCCAUGUUGCUGUGUCUCUGACAGACAGGGCUGCCAGAUAAAAUUCAGGACAUCCAGUUAAAUGUCUCAUGCAAUAUUUGGUAUAUACUUAUACUAAAGAAUUAUUCAUUAUCUGGAAUUCAAAUUAAAUUGAAUCCAUAUGUAUAUAGCUGUUGUUGUUGCUGUUUUAAUCUGGCAGCUCUACUGUCCAAGCAAGGUAGAGAUGAACUGUGUGCUCUUUUCCAAGGAGCUAAUCUCAUCAGAUAGAGAUUUUGCUUUUGUUCCAUCAAAAGUCUUGCUCACUUACCAAGGGAGCUUGGAUCCUGCUGGGAGACUAAGAUGGUCACUGCCUCUGACAAUUUCGUAAAAAUCUCAGGCUCCUGGGGCUUAUUCAGGCAAGUUGGGAGGGACGUUUCUGAAACACGUUUGGCCCGGUCAUUACGGAGGAGGAGGGAUUGAGAGCAGAAAGCAGAAGCGAAUGGAAUUCAGGCCUCAGGAUGCCUCCCCGGCAUAGGCCCCAUCAGAAGCCCUAUUGUAUGUUUGUAAGUUCAGAGGCUCCUUCUUAAAGAGGCGCUACACACUGUAUGAGCCCCAGGGUCCACCAAGUCUGGGGUCUGGUCCUGGCUGAGAGGGCAGUGCACUGAAGCUGUUUAUCCAGUACCUGCUACGUGCCCAGCCAUGAGCACACUCCUGGGCCAGCAUCCUGGGCUAGGGCUCACUGUGGGUAUUCUACAAAGGGGGAAACCAAGGCUCGGAGUGGUGGAGUAACUCCCCCAAUGCCACCCAGCUGGGAAGUGGCAGAAAAAAAAAAAAAAAGGAUUUGAACCUGGGUUGAGUUUCCUCUUUGCUGGGAACAGCACCUCAGGGCCCUGGUUCCUUGGGGCCGGUUGAAA